This 396-nucleotide ribosomal RNA is filed under the name uncultured bacterium. Its description in RNAcentral is "bacterial SSU rRNA". It matches the Rfam family "Bacterial small subunit ribosomal RNA", at positions 30 to 424 of the family's 1533-position model. The record is from RNAcentral.
AUUGAACGCUGGCGGCAUGCUUUACACAUGCAAGUCGAACGGCAGCACGGGUGCUUGCACCUGGUGGCGAGUGGCGGACGGGUGAGUAAUGCAUCGGAACGUGUCCUGAAGUGGGGGAUAACGCAUCGAAAGAUGUGCUAAUACCGCAUAUUCUCUGAGGAGGAAAGUAGGGGAUCGAAAGACCUUAUGCUUUUGGAGCGGCCGAUGUCUGAUUAGCUAGUUGGUAGGGUAAUGGCUUACCAAGGCGACGAUCAGUAGUUGGUCUGAGAGGACGGCCAGCCACACUGGGACUGAGACACGGCCCAGACUCCUACGGGAGGCAGCAGUGGGGAAUUUUGGACAAUGGGCGCAAGCCUGAUCCAGCCAAUGCCGCGUGAGUGAAGAAGGCCUCGGGUU